Coturnix japonica (Japanese quail) is the source of this 5296-nucleotide RNA transcript. It is a transcript of the gene named mitochondrial rRNA methyltransferase 1, with no coding region annotated. The record is from RefSeq and is a predicted model, not a curated record. NCBI's taxonomy places the organism in Eukaryota, Metazoa, Chordata, Aves, Galliformes, Phasianidae.
CCUCUGGCCGGCCGGAAGCAGCGCGGUCGCUCUGUGCCCACGUGUGUGUCCGCGUUGGAUCGAGUGCGGUUCUCCAUCCCCGCGUGGUACCGGGGGGCUCUUCCCCUCGUGGGCCGCCAUGGAGCAGCCGCUCAGGUCCCUCGCCCUCAGAGCCCUGAGGCUGCCGCCCUCCGCCCGCAGCUGCUGCUUUGGGGUGGGCCCCACGCGGGACCAACAGCCCACACGGUUAUACACAGCACGGGAGGGCUCCAAGGGCAGGAGCAGGCCGCAGGGAAGGAGGGUUCUGCCCAUUGAAAGGACGAGGGGCAGCGAGAUCCUGUUCGGCGUGGCGCCGUGCUCCAUGGCGCUGUCCCAGGCCAGGAGGGAUCUGUUCAGGCUGUUCCUUAAGCAGAGCGUUGGGCCGCAGCGCCUCGUCAGCAGCGAGUUGGUGCUGCAGGCCGCGGCACGAGGGGUUCCCGUGCUACACGUUGGGAGGAGGGAGCUGGACGAGCUGUGCGGGGGACGCGUCCACCAGGGGGUGUGUUUGGAGGCCACCCCGCUGCGCUACAAGAGGAUGGAGGAGGACGAAGGGAGCGAUGGAGAGAGCACGAACCGACAGCUGCUAUGGCUGGUGCUGGAGCAGAUCCAGGACCCCAUGAACCUGGGGGCACUGCUGCGCUCUGCCUACUUCUUAGGGGUGGACAGAGUGGUGACGAGCCGGAGGAACAGCUGCCCCUUGACUCCAACAGUGAGCAAAGCGAGUUCUGGAGCGAUGGAAGUCUUUGAUGUCUACAGCACAGACGAUCUCCGGAGCUUUUUGAAGGCUAAAGCUGCAGAAGGUUGGGAAGUUGUGGGAACAGUGAGCCAGUCUGAAACUGUGGAAAAUGUUCCUGUCAUCAGCUGCUUGGAAUUUCGGUGGAAUAAACCCAUUAUUUUAGUAAUAGGUAGUGAAGGUGAUGGCCUUUCCCUGGAGACGCAGCUCCUGUGCCACCAGAUGCUGCUCAUCCCCUCUGGCAGGACACUGCACCCGGGCAUCGAGUCGCUGAAUGUCUCCGUAGCCACUGGCAUUCUCCUGCACUCCAUAUGCAGUCAAAAGCUGAGGAAGGGUGAUUGAUUUUUAUCCUGGCACGUGGUGGAAGUUGCUCAGCCCAGAUCUUUGAUGGCAGGAAGCUGCUCAGUGUUCCAUGGCUGUGUUCAGUAUGGAUAUGGAAGUGCUCCUUCCAGGUUCGGCACCAUCUCAACAAGUUUCAGGUACUUAAACUUGAGAAGACCCUUCAUUAAGUUUGCUUGUGUUUGGGAAAGCCACGUGCCCUCUGACCGCGCUCAGCCACAGCAGCUCAUCUAUGACAGACAGCCAGGAAAUGCUCUUGACCAUCUGCUGCUGCUCUAAGAAACGAGUGUUUACUACCAGAAAUGUCGGAGGUAUCUGGGAUAGAUCACAGCAGAGUGUAAGGGCAAAGUGCAGCCACUUAUGCAAAACUGUGCCACUGUCGCCUGGAACCUGGAGUUGGAAGCUUCUGGAAACAUUCCCAGUCCUUGGCUUAUUCAUCAAGAUUGUUACAAUUCUGCUGCCACGAAGAGGGAAGUAUCUUGUUCUCCUGUUAUUUAUUAGCAUUUGCUGUAGUGUGAGGGACCGUGAUGGGGAGGGGAGCCCUGCUGUGAGGGGCUGCGAAAUGACAGCAGCAUCACAGGGUGUGAGCAAUUCAAACAGCCACGUCAGGCAGAGAAUUUGGGAGACAGAUGUAAGACAAGCAAAGGAAAGAUGUGGAAGAUUCUUGAAGUACCUCAAAAGAAACGCAAAUGAAACGUAUUAAGGACGUGUCUGUGUGCAAUCAAGGCCUGUUGGAGCUUCACAUUGGAGAUGUAGGAACUUCUUUAUCUCAUAGAAAGAGAUAACAAGAGGGCUUUCUGAAAAUGGGAGAAAACCACUGCAGGCCUGUUUCUGCCUAAAAGCCCAGUGGGACAGAUCAUGGAGUCUGAGGAGCAGGGAGUUGUGUGCUAUUCUGUUAAUAAAAAGCAGAAGGAAGUAGCAGAACAGAAUCAGUGGAGCAAAUCCAAAAGCAAAUGCCCUAUCAAACAGGCAAAAAAAAAAAAAAACACCUCACCAAACAAAAGCUGAUGAAUUUCCAAGGUAGAAUUUGUUGGCAGACAGGCUGGGCUGAUGUUUCCUAAAGCAACCACCUUAAUCCCUCCAUUCUGCAAAGGGAAUGCCAAACAAAAGAAAUCUGCUCAACAUUUUCUAUUAGCCUGAAAUUUUGCCGUAGAGAAAAUGAUAACAAGGAAGGAAUUUUCUUGGGAAAAAGAAGAGAAAAGGGAGCUGCGGAAUUAUUUUAGUCCAGAUGUCUGCAGUGCUAAAAACGAGUUCUGGGGCAGGACAAUAAACUCAUACACAAAUGUUAAUUCUGCUUGCAGUCAUCCAAGCAGUUCAGUCACCAAAGCCCAUUCAUGGUCUGUGUGCUUCCACACAGAGGGAUGCUCCAAAAAACUUUGACAAUCCCAAUCUAAACACGUUUGUGUCCAACUUUCUAAAGGUCCUUCUGUGUGGCUGCAAAGAAUAAGUAAUUUCUAUCUGCAACACGUUAUGAAGUCCUCAGGAAGUAGGCACCAGGGCAGCGUAAAAUGGUUAUUUUAGCAGUAUCUUCUCUUACAAUUGCUUGUUCUCCAUCUCCACAGAGGACAGCUGCAGUGAUUUAAGCCCACCAGGCUGCGGAGUUGGUUCUGUUGUGAAGUGCCUGAGCUGCUGUGCAGGACUUGGCCAUAAACUGCACAGCCCAAGGAAGAUGUUGCUUGUUUUCUAGGACAGGAUGAAAUCACCCCAUGUGUUUCGAAGUUUCUUAAUGUUAAAAAGGAAGAGGAAAAAAGCUGUUUGCAGAGGUGCAUCCACUCUCUUCCACUUUUGCUAUGCUCCGUGAUCAAAUGGGUCCGGUCUUUCUCAUGUUUCUGCUCCUCAUUUGCCUCCUGCAUGUAAGAUUAUACCAACAUCUGCUCCGAACCUCUGUGGGCAUCUACACAAAGUAUUCCCAUGAGUAUAUUUCAGUUCUAGUCCUGCAAGGUCACCCUUCCAUCCUUUGUGAGGCACCUGCUUUUCCAACCCACCCUGCUUUCUCCAGGCAACGUUCUCCCGACGCCGGACUCCCUCAGUGGGUUGAUGUUCUGUUUAAUUAGUUUGGCCUCUCGCACCCGGCUGGGGGAAGUUUGAUUAGAGACUCAGACAACACUUCUGUUCCUUCAGCCUCCGGUCCUCCCAAAACACACACCCGAUGAAAGGAGAAAAAAUGCCCUUUCCUGCAAUUCCAGGCAGCCCGUUCUGCUUGGACCAUCCACGCUGGUACAGCACACAAGGCUGGUGAGAAGUCAGAGCUUAGUAAAUGUUGUGGUAGGGCACAGGGAAAGGGUUUACUUAUGUUGUGCUUGGGAAGCGCUGCACUAUUUUUAUGCACUAGAACAGGUUGCCCAAGGAGGCUGUGGGUGCCCCAUCCCUGCAGGCAUUCAAGGCCAGGCUGGAUGUGGCUCUGGGCAGCCUGGCCUGCUGGUUGGUGACCCUGCACAUAGCAGGGGUUUGGAACUCGAUGAUCAUUGUGAUCCUUUUCAACCCAGGCCAUUCUAUGAUUUUUUAUCAUAAGAGCACUUGGUUUCCUCCAGCACUUACCCUGUUAAUAAAAGAAUCUGUAUCAUUUAGUCUGGUUAAGCAGCAACAGUAUUUGCUGCUUAAAGGCUUGCCCAGCUACCUAAACUCCAGACACCUCAUUUCAGAAGGGAAAUAUUCCUGCACUGUAAGAAGAGAGUGCUGUUGUACUAUUUGAGCACUAAAAUCAGUCGAACAAGACUGUUGUAUCUCUUAAGAAAAUUCAUAUGUGGAAAUUUAUCACAAGGAAAAAAUACACUUAAGCCCCACUUAAAAUAAUAAAAUACAUCUUUUAGAGAAAGUUUCAGACUUUUUUCUGGGUAAGAGGAGUAAUGGUUUCUAUAAUUUAAUAGGUGCUAAAUUUGGUGAGGAGUGCCAGCAAAUCCAUUUCACAUGGUGAUAUUUUAUCUCCCCUGAAACGGUCAUUUUCACAAAUGCCUUUUUAUUGGUUCCCUUGUCCCAUGAAGCACCCAGGCUGGAGCUGGGGUGUGUACAGCAGUGGGAAGGAGUAAGGAAACCAGUCAAUAACAGGGACACAAAACAGGGGCAGGAACUGCACGAGGGUUAAAUGUGCUCCCUGUAUAUAGACAACAUUUCUACUUUGACCCGCAGGGCUCUGGCUUUUUAGCUCUUGCUCUUGUAGGAGUUAAGGUGGAUGCAACUAUUAAAAACCAGAGAUGACCCACAUGGAACCGUGGGCGAGAAUAGCACUGAAAAGACUGAAAAUAAAACAACCAACAGCCCUCCCCUUCUGCAGUUUGUGGCCACUGUCACUGCAAAUAAACUGAGGUUCAGGAAAGGGAAUAGAGAAUUUUUUGUGGUUAGGACACAGAAGUGGAAAGCUCAAUGAGUUUUCAAAUCAGAAUAAAAUGGAAAGAAGGGGAAAUAUGUAAGGGUUGGUUUAAGGAGGCAGUGCAUGAAUUCAAGUGUGAUAUGUCAGCCAUGUUCACAACCAGCACAAGGUCUUUGCUGCCCACCCUUACAUGUCAUAUACUUGUAAUUGCCACAUACUUGUAAUUCUAUUGUACUUUUUUUUUCCCCCAGUUCUUCCACCCUCUGAAUUCUCCCAUUGUAAGUGGGGAGUUUCCAUGCCUGGGAGCUCCUGCAGCCCUGCCUGCGUGGAGGAACAAGGAUGUACUAAUAUUGGGUCCUGAAGCUGCAAAUGCCGAACGAACCAAGGAGUAAAAGAAUUGACAAGACAAGCAGUGGUGGGAAAUGGAGGGAAGACUGUGAAAAAGGUUAUAAUAAAUAAUAAGAAAUGUUGCAUGGGCCAAAGGAAUAAUAGAUCAGCGAUGGAAAGACUCUAAAAGCUGCUGAGGGUUAUUUAUUGAUGGACAUUGUUUUAAGAAAAGAAAAAAAAUCAGUGACAGUUUUCCUUCGUGUUCAUAAAGGCAGAGCAGGUGCCAGAAUGAAAGAUAAAUUCCCUUUUGCAUAAAGAAGAAAUAUUGAAGGAAACUGAGCAGAGGUGAUGGAGAAAUUAGAGCGUUGAAAGACCCUGAAAGCAUGCGGUCCAUGUCAGCAUGUCAGAAAACCUCUCUCAGGAUUUUCAGCUGAGUCAGCAGAAAGCAGGAAAAACUGUUGCGGGAAAUGAGAACCUCUUUGAAGACCAGUAAUGGAGAGGUUCCUGCAAGUGUCAUGUCCGAAGGUCUGAGGAAAGCUUUCCAGGAAUUAAAAUUGGUGGUGUAGAAGGUA